GGUGUGAUUUGAGGGUUGUGAGUGAUGCUAAUAUGUUUUACAUUGAAACUAUUUUGAAGCAUUUGGGAAUUAGUCAAUAUUUUUCAGAGAUUAACACUAAUCCAGGUUAUGUUAAUCAAGAAGGAAGGGUUAGAAUUUCACCUUACCAUGACUUCAACAAAUGUUCACAUGGUUGCACUCUUUGCCCUCCAAACAUGUGCAAGGUAUAUUCAAUUAUAGUUGUUUUUUUGUCUCUUAUUAGAGGCCAAUAGAUUUUAUGGAAAUAUAUAAUAAUGAAUAAUUUUUAUGUAGGAUCACUAGUUUAAAAUUAAAUUAAAUUAAAAAAAUUGGAGUGAAGAUUCAAUUCUUCACAAAUUUCAUAUGGGACAAUUCAGUCCUGACAAAAGUAAAACCCAAAUUAAUCCUGAUUUUUAAUAUUUUGUGACAAAUUAGUCUCUCUAUUAGAAUAAAUCAGAGACUAGUUUGUCUUCAAUAUGAAAAUGUUAAAAAUUAAUAUGUUUUGUGGAAUGAAUUGUCCCGUCAAAAUUUUGUGAGAGAUCAAAAUGGAUCUACACUCAAAAAAUUAUGUCGUGACUAUAAGCAUAAUCCAGUUGUUAAGAAUAUUAUCAAAAAAAAUAAAAAAAGUAUGGAAAUUAAUUUAUAUAUGAUAGAAUAUACUUAAUUCACUUAAGAUUGAAAUUCUAAUCAUCAAUCUACUUGACAAAAAAUAAAAUAUGGAAAUUAAUUUAUAUGAUAGAAUAUACUUAAUUUUUUUAAUCAUUAUUUCAGGGUUUAAUCAUUGAUAGAAUUCAAAAUACAAUUUCUGAAGUGGAUAAGAAGAGGUUCAUCUACCUUGGUGAUGGUGCUGGUGAUUAUUGUCCUAGUUUGAGGCUUAGAGAAAGAGACUUUGUGAUGCCAAGGAAGAAUUUUNNNNNNNNNNNNNNNNNNNNNNNNNNNNNNNNNNNNNNNNNNNNNNNNNNNNNNNNNNNAGAAGAGUUGGAACAAGUUUUGUUGCACUUGAUCAAUAAAAUUAUGAUGGAGGAACAUGUUCAAUUCAUUUCAACUGAUUGCAAGUUGCAAACUCUAUCUAUGCCUGUGCUUGAAUCAUUGCCUAAAGCUCUCUCAGUUAGGCCAUAAAUUUUUAGGGUCAUUGCAAAUGUAUCUAGGCUUUUUUUUUGGUCCUUAAAGUGACUUUAAUAAACUUUUUCUUGAAAUUGGUCUAUGAUGGGAAAUGGGAAAAUACAAUGUCUAUCUAAGACAAUUACCAAUUUGCCCUACAUCUUGUAGAUUAUUUAGUUUAACAGCUAAUUGCUAUGUAAAACUUUAUAAAAUACUGGUCUAUGGUUUGAGAAUGGUUGGUUAGUAGGUAGUUUCUUACUCAUCACAAUGAGAUGAACUCUUUGAUCGUGGUUAAUAUUAUCAUAUCUUGGAAAGCUCGGAACUAUCAUUUGUUCCCUCUCUUCAAGAAUUUUUAUCUCUGGUGAAUUCAAUAAACUGAAAUUGUGAGAUCAAACAUAUUUACCGCGCAAAAACUCAAUUAUUGUAUUGAUCGUCUAACAAAUUUUGGUCAUGGUGGCGAGUUUGAUUCGGUAGAGUUUUCAUCCUAAUCCCCAUCCUUUUCUAAAGCUUUUACUUUGAAAUUAAAUUAGCAUUUAAUCCCAAAAACAAUUGGACCUAUUAUGUUUUUCUCGUUAGCAUGUGGUAGCAGCAUCCACAAUAUAGUACUGAAUUUUCUAUUUUUUUUAUAAAUCAUGUAUAUUAAUCAUCAAGUGAUUGACUACAUGCAUGAUACCAUCGAUAUAUCUUAUAACUUAAUUCAUUCCAUCUAAUUGUUCAUACAUAAAUAUGACUCUUCAAAUCAUGUAUGUCAUGUGAAAAUGAAUAUUAAACAUAUUUUUAGAAAUACAAAGUUUUUGUAAAUUCUAACUUCUCUAUUCCGAAUCCAUAUAUUUUAUAUUCUACUAUCUAUCAAAUAAGUGAACUUUUAAAAUAAUAUCAUAAAAUUUUAUAACUUAUUUAUUUUUUAGACAACUUAUAAAUUUCAUCGGUUAACACUUUGAACUUAGGUGAAAAAUAUGAUCAACAUUAAUUAUUUUUUGGUCACUAAUUUCUCUUUAUAUACUCUUUUUGUAUUUUCAUCUUUUUCUUUUAUUCUUCUUUUUUUCGGAAUACAUCAAAAUAGUAAACACUUGCUUAUAAAAAAAAAAACACUUAUUUCGAUAUUUUUUCGGGAAAAAAAGUUUCGAUUUCAAAUAAAAACAAUUCUGAAGUUUUUCUGAAAAAAAGUUUCCGUUCUUUUUUAGGUAAAAAAGUUUCGGAUAUUUUCCGAAAAAAAAAGAUUUCGAUUUUUUCUGGAAAAAGUUUCGAUGUUUUCCGGAAAAAAGUCCCCGGUUUUUGGGAAAAAUAGUUUCGAAAUGUUCACCUGAAAAAAUAUUGCUGAUACAAAAAAAAGUGAAAAAACAGAAAAUAUUUGAAAAAAUUUUCCGAAUAAAAUAUCGGAACUAUUUUGUUCCGACAAAAUCUCCGGAAUUGUUUUUAUCUAAAAUCAAAAUUUUUUUCCCAAAAAAUCGGGAACUUUUUUUCUGAAAAAAAAACAAAAAAAAAAAAUUUCCAAAAAAAUAUCGAAAUUUUUUUUCCGAAAAAAUCGGAAACUUUUUUUCAAAAAUAAAAAAUAAUAUAAUACUGACAGUACACCAUAAUAUCAUGUACACAUUCAAUCCGGUCCACAAAACAUAUGGUGCAUUGAUGAAAGACCUAUCAUGACCUCCCACUCUAGAAUCCGCCUAGAAUUAUUCUGUGCAUGUAACUCCGCAACAACAACUCAUAAUCCAUUUUUUUUCUUUCUCAUAAGAUUGGAGGGUUAGUUAUAAACAAAAGUGCAUGUAACUCAUUAGUCUAACUAACCCUAAUCUAUUUCAAAUCAUCUAAUCCAACAGCUGAAAUUAAAUUUUGAAAUAUAGUUAGAUCAUGUGUUCCAUAUUUCACUACAAAGCAGUUUUUACGUUAAACAAAUCCAGCGAGAAAUCCUUAUAAAUUACCUAUUAUUGUGAACAACUUUUACAACAAAAAUACUCACUCUAUACUUCAUAACAUAUAUCAUUCUCAUUCCCUUUCUCGUCUCUCAAAGAAAACAAAAUGUCUAACAUUGUUAUUGUUUUCGACUUUGACAAAACCAUCAUUGAUUGUGACAGUGAUGAUUGGGUCAUUGAUCAAUUUGGUUUCACUGAUUUCUUCAAUCACCUCCUUCCCACCACGCCUUUGAAUUCCCUCAUGGUAUAUCUCUCUCUCUCUCUAUGUGCUCUAUUUUAUAUACAUAAUACAUAUUUUUUCUGAGAUAGAUACGACACCAAACACAUGCAAUAACAUCACAUUAUAUAUAUUUUAAAUUAUUCUAGGUGUAAAUGUUUCAGUGUCAAUUCUUUAAGUUACAACACAAUCACAACUAAUGAUAUCUUAAAACCCACUUGAGUUGGUCUGGUUGUAUUGACUUGAGAUCCGGGAGUGCGCUCCUCUUUAAGGUCUCAGGUUUGAUUUUCGUGCCAAUUUAGGUGGGCUAAUUUAGUUUUUUAGAAAAAAAACUAAUGUUUUCUCAAUUUUUUAAUCUUCAUUAGUCAACUGGAAUAAAUAUCUGAAGUUUAUGUUGUUUUUUUUUUGGAAUUAUAGCAAAGAAUGAUGAUGGAGUCUCAUUCACAUGGUAAAAGCAUUGAAGACAUUGAAAAAGUUCUUGAUAGGAUUCCUAUUAACCAAAGAAUAAUUUCUGCAAUUAAAUCAGCACAUGCUUUAGGGUGUGAUUUGAGGAUUGUGAGCGAUUCCAAUACAUUUUUCAUUGAAACCUUUUUGAAGCAUUUGGGAAUAAGUGAAUGCUUCUCAGAGAUUAACACUAAUCCUGGUUAUGUUAAUCAAGAAGGAAGAUUAAGAAUUUUGCCUUAUCAUGAUUUCAAUAACGCUUCACAUGGUUGCCCUCUAUGUCCUCCAAAUAUGUGCAAGGUACAGUUCAUGAUUUUAAUUAAAUAUUUUGAGUUAAAUAUGUUUUUGUUUUAGUCCCUAUUCAAUUAUGGGUCUUACUAACGAGUCCGUCCGGACGAGACGAUCUUUAAAUUGAGAUUUUCAAUACUUUUAUUGUUAUCUUUUGAAUUUUUUUAAAAAUUCAUAUUUAAUUCUNNNNNNNGUAUUACAGGGUUUGAUCAUAGAUAGAAUAAAAAAUUCAAUUUCUGAAAGGGGUAAUAAUAAGAGGUUUAUUUAUCUUGGUGAUGGUAUUGGAGAUUAUUGUCCUAGCUUAAGGCUUAAAGAGAGAGACUUCAUGAUGCCAAGGAAGAAUUUUCCAGCUUGGGACUUAAUAUGCAAAGACCCUUCACUUCUUAAGGCUGAAAUUCAUGGUUGGAGUGAUGGAAAAGAGUUAGAACAAGUUUUGAUGAAGUUGAUUAACAAAAUUAUGAUAGAGGAAAAUUAUGAUAGAGCAAGCUGCAAUCUCUAUCAAUUCCUGUGGCCAUAGAAUUUUAGUUUACAAUUAUUGCAAAGUGUAUAAUUGGUUUUUCAUGUAUGAUUUGAUUAACUUUAAUCAAACUUUUCUAAUAAGAUUUGCAAACUAGCUAAACAUAUGGCUACUUUUGCAAGAGCAUGAAUGACCUUAUCGACUUGACUCCUAACGAACUCUAGAUAGGAAUUCCUCUAAAAAUAGACACCAACAACUACUAAUAAUACUACCAAACUCAAAGUGCUCUUGUUUGUUGUCAUAGAAUGAAUAUUAAAUAUAUAUUAAGCNNNNAGAAAUACAAAAUGACUGUAGAGUUGGGCGCCGACCAAGGUGAUUGUUUUUUCUUGGCAAGCCCUUCUUGCCAGUUACUUACUAGGGAGAAUUUGGUGAAGAGAGGCAUUGCUAUUGAAGGGCCUUUUGCGGGUUGCGUGUUGUGUGGAGAGGGUAGAGAAACGAAGGAUCACUUGUUUGCUUCUUGCUCUACGGUUUGAGAGGUUUGGUCCAAGGUUCAUCGGUGGUUUGGUUUGUCGUCAGUUGUUCCGUGUACGAUUGGCUCCUUAUUUCAAGGCUUUCUUUCACACAUUCGUUGAGCCUUUUGAUUGUAUAGUUCGCUAGUUUGGGCGUGUUUAGUUCGAUCAAAUGAUGUGUAUUUGAUUUUUUUUUUUUUUUGGUUGCGUACUAUUUGUACUUCUCCUACUGUUGUGGGUAGAGUAUCUCUUGUACUUUCUCCUUUUAUAUAUAUAUAUAUAUAUAAUCUUUUGCGGUUAAAAAAUAAAAUAAAAUGACCUCGAUUAUAACUAUUGCAUUUGUAUUAUGUUAUAUUAUCUAUCAAAUAAGUGAACAUUUUAAAAUAACAUCAUAAAAUUUUGCAACUUAUUUUUUUUAACAAAUUUUAAAUUUAAUCCCUUUGAACUUGGGGGAGGAACUUACUUUUAAUUUAGAAAUUUAAAAGUAACGAAUUUUAAUUUCUUAUACUCGAAAGACCAAGAGUAUAAGAGUAAAUAAAAUAAGUUUUAUACGUAAAGACAUCACAUUUUACAGGUAAGAAUCAGAAUUCGAAUCCAAACACUUUACUUAUUCUCAUCUUAAAAUAAUUUAUUUUUUUUAAAAUAUGUUUGAACCCUCCUACAAAAUUAUACGUGAAGCUCUGACACAGCAUAUUUUUUUUUUUUGAUAAGAAAAAAUUGAAUUAUAAGAAGUACUAGGUGUACUCAAACCUUACAAUUCAAGAAAAAAUAAACUGUUAGAUGCUAGAAAUGCACACUAACGGGUCAUUACACCAAUCAGAAAAUACAAAAGAAGAAAUAUUCCCUAUUCAUCCUAUAAACCAAAACCAGGAAAUAAACAUAAUUUGAUCAACUAAGGAAGACAAAUUAACCACUUCUCCUCUAAACAUGAUGUUAUUGCGUGCACGCCAUAUACUCCAAGUGGUUGCUAACCAAAUUAUAUGCCUUACUUUCUUAUGCUUCACCAAACUGCCAAAAGUGUUAAAAUGCUUCCAUCCUUCUUCAAAGGGUAUGAAUUCCACAUUCAACCACCUAAAAAUUUUCUUCCAUACUUGUAAUGAAAAAGAACAAUUAAAAAUAAAUGGUCGAUGUCUUCUUCUUCUCGGAAACAAAACGCGCAACUAAAUUCAUGAGGAUUGACAAUAAUAUUUUUUCUCGCCAAAGCCAUACGUGUCGGAAGUCUUGCUAAUAAUAACCGCCAUCCGAAAAUGAUCACUUUGGAAGGAACAUCAUUCUCCCAUAAAUNNNNNACGUUACUGUCAAAAGUCGAUUGUGCAUCGCGAUUUUGAAGGAAAACAUAAGUUGAGCGCACCGAAAAAAUGCCGGCAUGGUUUGGGAUCCAUUUCCUGCGAUCUGGACUGUCUGGCGUUGGACUGAUAUUUGUCAAUAUGCAUGUUAGUUCUGAUAAAGCUUUCAUCUCGGUUGAUAGCAAUUCCUCAACCCAUUGCAAGUGCCACUGCCAAUUGCUGUCAUUCCAAGAGCCAACAUCUGUUACUACAGCCUCAUGAUUCAAAGCUUUGUUAUACAAUUGUGGAUAAAGAUAUUGCAAGCUAUCAUUCCCUAACCAUUUUAUUUGCCAAAACCGAAUGCUAUCUCCUUUGCCCAACACAGUACACACAUUGGAUUUGAACCAAUCACCAUUAUCUUCUCCUCCUACCUUCAUGAUAUCUCUCCACCAUAAUGACUGUCCUUUUUCAAACCUAUUCAUGGUGCACAAAAAAAUUUUGUCCAUUGAACCAUAUCUAUGUACUAAUAAUUUGCACCACAUGGAAUCUCCUUCGUUAAGUGCUCUCCAUUUCCAUUUGCAAAGUAAUGCUUGAUUGAAAAUGUCAAGGUUUUUUAUACCCAAUCCUCCUUUCUCCUUUGAUAAACAAAUAUUAUCCCAACUAAUCCAACAAAUCUUCUUUCUAUCCAAACCACCUCCCCACAAAAAAUUUCGUUGGAUACUUAUCAAUUCUCUGACACAGCAUAUUUGAUUCAUCAAGACAUUAUUUUAAGUUGACCCAAAAAUAUUAAAAUAGAAAACCACUAAAACUGCCCCCAAUUAAUAAGCUUUUAUGUUCUUCCAUGUUCACAACUCUUUGUUAAUACACUCACUGCUCAGAGUCUUUAGUAGUUAGUACUGAGAUGAGAUGAGAAGCACCAACCAUUCCCUAGUAAAUACAGGGUCUUGGGAUUUUAGUGAUCUCAAUUACUUUCCUUUUACUAGAAACUCUAAUAUGUUUUAGCUUACUAUGUUACAUUAAAAUAUUGUGCUACAACCAAAUAUGAGUUGUUCAAUCCAAAUGCAAUGAUUUAGGUUUGUUUUCUUCAACAAAUUCAACAACUUAAUUAAGAAUAUCCAAAUUCAUCUAUAGAACAAAAAAGGUAGAUUAUACACAAGUUAUACUCAUCAUUCAUAUUUCAAUUGAUUUUUUACCCAAAAAAUUAAAUCAUUAAAAACAAUUAUGCAUAAGAAAACCCACAACAACAAAAAAAGUAUUCAUACUAUAUGUUAUGAAACAAAUGUGUUAUUCAUACUUAAUUUCUAAUAUACGGUAUUUUUCUAAAUAAUGUCGUGUUCCUUCAUUGAAUAUAUUAAAUAAAUUCAAAAAAAAAUAUAAUACACCUAACACAUAUAACAAGAUAUAUAGUGUGUUUAAAAAUCCCUACGAAAGGACAGUCUUAGAUGUAUAAACCGGAACAAGAGUUACGGCAAGACCAAUACCAAAUUCAUCAAGUAGUCUUGCUAAACACAAGACAAAUAACCACAGUAUAACCAAACCGCCAAAGAAAUAUAGCACGGAUAAGAUUAUCAACAAUGGUCUCCGAUCAGGCCAAACCGUUAUUCAAUCAUAGAAAAUUUUAAUUAGUGUAGCUCCAAUGAUAUAAACGACAACCACAAUUUUGAAGAAUCACUCAUUUUGAAGAAGGUAAGCUUCCUUUCAGAUACCUUGGAAUUCCCAUGACUAGUAAGAAAUUAGCUAUACACAACUACAUGGACCUGAUUGAUAGAAUAGUUGGAAGAAUCACUCAUUGGAGUUCUAAACUCCUAAGCUACGCAGGGAGAAUUCAGCUUCUCAAAAGUGUAAUUUUUGCUAUGACGAAUUAUUGGAUGCAGUGCUUGCCUUUCCCUAAAGCAGUGAUACGUAAGAUUAACUCCAUAUGUCGGACUUUCUUCUGGACGGGUAGUAUAGAGAAAAGCUGUAAAGCCCCCGUUGCUUGGAAAUCUGUGUGCCAAACUAAGCGUAAUGGUGGUCUGAAUCUCAUUGACCUUGAGGGUUGGAAUCAUAUUUCUUUGCUGAAACUGUUAUGGAAUCUUUGUGGCAAAUCAGAUAGCCUUUGGGUAAAAUGGAUCCAUGCAUAUUAUAUUAAAAACCAGCAGAUCAUGGAGGCUUAUAUACCAGAUAAUGCCUCCUGGAUAAUGAAGGCUGUUAUGAAGCAACGCGAGUGUACCCUUCAAAAUCCGGUGUGGACAGAGAUGUUGAAUGCCCAGAAAUUUAAUAUGAAAAAGAUGUACUUGGCUAAUUAUGAAAGAUCUCAAAGUGUUCCGUGGAGAACUUUGUUCUAUGGAAACGUGGCCCGUCCUAGAGCUCUUGUCAACCUCUGGCUUGCUUGUAAUGGGAGGUUGGCAACUCGUGACAGAUUACACAAGUUUGGGAUUAUUGACACAACUUGUUGUUGCUUCUGCAGUGCUGAUGAAACUCAGCAGCACCUUAUGUUUGAUUGUAAUGAAACAAGAGAUAUUUGGAGAAAAGUCCUUGAAUGGAUUCAGAUUGCUCAUUAUCCAUUGGGCUGGUGUCAAGAAGUGGAGUGGAUUAUGAAGCAGACUAAAGGUAAAGGAGGUCGUGCAAAGAUCCUAAAAUUGGCCUUCACUGAAUGUGUCUAUGAGAUUUGGAGGUAUCGAAAUUAUAUUAGUUUUGGUAAUGCUGUACAGAACAAUCAUACUGAUAAGAAAAUUAUUGAUACUAUUGUCUAUAGGGGCUGGACCAAUAGAAAAUUAAGGACAUGCCUAGCUAAACUCAUGAUGUAAAUAGUCCUCUUCUUUGGUUGUUGUUUUUGUCGUUUUUGAUCCUGUGGACUGGAUCCUUGUGAUCGCCUUGUACCUCUGGUUUUUGAAUUAAUCAAAGUUUUCUUUUUGAUUCAAAAAAAGACAACCACAAUUUGCAUAGUUGUUUGCAUAGUAACAACUUUUUUAAUGUGAAGAAUAAAAUUUGCAAUCUUUGCAUUAGGUGUAAUAAACAUAUUAUUUCUUGGUUUAUUUGUGUUCAAAUUAUACUUAAAACAUUCCUUGUGAAAGCAACAUAGGGUCGUUUGUUUUGACUUUUUUAAAAAAUGAUUUUUAUAGUGUUAUAGUGUGGAAAAAAAAAUUUACAAAUAAACUUUUUAUAAAAGCUUCAAAUUAAAAUUUGAUUUGAAUAAGUAUUCUUAAAAUGUUAUUUUAGGUAUUUCAUCAUUUUAUUGAAAAAAAAUUGGAUAUCAAAAUUUCAAAAAAUCACUUAAUUUUGAAGCUAUUUCAAAUAGAUUUUCAUAAAUAUCAUUUUUGAAAUAUAACUUUUUGAAAAAAUUGCGAUUUUGACUAUGUUUUGAUCUUUAAUAAUAUAUGUUUAUAUCAUAUGAUGUCAAAAUUAGUGUUUUAAUUUAGAAAAAUAAAUAUAAAAAACUUGUAAUAUUUCGAAAAAAUGGUUUUAUAAAAUCUAUUUUUAAAAAUACAAAAAAAAAAUCCAUUUUUUUAAAACUGGAAUAAAUAGACCCGUAAUGUUAUGUUAUAACUUAUAAUCCUAGUAAUUAAAAAUAAUAUAAUACUAAAAAUAAUAAUGAGAGAAUGAGAGGUUUAAAUUUUAACAAAGCUGUUGGGAUACGUUAUAAAAUUUAAAUGCAGUCUCUACUCAUCAUGGUCUAGUUUAGACAAGUAUAUUACCAAUAUAUGAUGAGUAAUCGGUCAAUUUAGUCGCAAAAUUAUCACUCUCUCACCAACUUAGUCCCUAAACUAUUAAAAAUAACUAAAAGGUCCCUAAUCUAUUUUUCAUCCGUCAAUUUAGUCCUCGGUUAACUUGUCUAUAAAAUCCUAAAAUAUUAUUACCCUUUCUUCUUCCACGUGCUUCAACGGAAACAACCACCCUGCUCGCCGCCAACCACUCCACUCUCCGGCAACAACCGUUUUUCACGCAACAAAAAUAUAACCUCUAGUUGCGGCUAAAAACAGAUCCGUUUUUUGUUCUCACUUUUGUAAAUUUAUAAGGGUUUGUGAUUUUGUUUUAUCCCUUUGAAGUUUAUGCUGUGAUCUCUUGUUUUUUGCGGGUCUGGGAGUUUUUUAUCCUUCUACUCCUUUUCUUCUGUUAUUAUAAGGAAUGUUGUGGGGUGUGUUAGUGUGUAUAAUGAUGACAUAAAGGGUACAAAAAGUGUCAUUGUAUGUAGUAUGCUAACAAAGUCUUAUUAAAUUUCAAGCAUUGUAUGGUGAAUUAUCUUUGGAGGCUGGUGCAGCUUUUUUCAUCUAUGCUACUGUGUUAAGAAGUGCCUUGGAGAUAUUAUAACAUGUUUGUUAAGAAUCAUAAAAUGAUGUUUAUGAAGGACUAAAUUGAAGGAUGUAAAUAUAGUUUAGGGACUAAGUUGGUAAGAGAGUGAUAGUUUAGGGACUAAAUUGACUGAUUACUCAAUAUAUGAUAAUCAAUGUGAACGUCCCAGAUAAGUGGAUUUGGCUGCCUGACCCUAACUCGGGAUAUUCAAUGUGAGGCGCUUACAAUUAGUAACCCAAAUUGUUCUGUCUUGUAUGAGCAUAAAGAGAUUAUAUGGAAUAAACUUGCGCCUUUGAAGGUGUCAAUCUUUGCUUGGCGGUUUUUAAACAACAUAUCUCUGAAGGAGAGUAUGAGGCGGCAUGGAAUGACUCUUGCGGAUCUGACGGUGUGUACAAGUGGUUGUGGUGUAGCUGAAACUUCCAAUCACUUGUUUCUUUUGUUGUGCUUUUGCUCAAUCCCUUUGUAUUAAAAUUCUGUCUUGGAUGAGCAUUUAUAGUAUGUUACCAAAUGUUGUGGAGGAUCAUGCAUGCUUUGCAAUUUUAUAAUUCUUUUAUGUUUGGUAAAGAAGUUCGAAUGGAUAUUCAGGUUGUUUUGGUAUAGAUUUAGUAAAACUAAUGAUUUCAUAAAUUACUCGGUAACAUGAAAAAAUAAUUAGGAAAGAAAGAAAAAAAAUCAGUAAUUCAGUGUAGAGAAACUAAACGCAAGAUUUUGGUACCAUACACAGAACUAGGGUUGGGAACAGGCCAAGCCUUGAUAGGCCUGAGUUUGGCCUACGAUUUUUCUUUAGGCAUGAGCCUGGCCUGCGGCCUAUCAAAUGUUAUUUUUUUUGGCCUGGCCUGAGCUUUUUAAAAGUCUGGUCUGGCCUUGUAGCCUAUUUAAAAGUCUGUGUUACAUUAAAACUUCUCUAUAUAGUCUUUUUAAAUAGGUUAACCAGGCCUUAAAAAGUUCAUAUUUAAAUUUUUAUAAUUUCUACAACAUUAAAAAAAAGCUAAUAAUAUGAUUAGCACAAUAAUUAAAAACUAAUAAAAUAACAAAUAUGAUUACGACAAAGUCGCCAUAAUACAAAUUGUUCGCUAAGUGUAGUCAGCAACAAGCCAACAACCAAAAUAUAGGAUGAGUUGCUACUUGCUUGAGAGAAUGAGAGAUGGAAUGAAGGUAGGGUUUCUAUUUUUAAUUUAUAUGCGUGAAAUAUAAAAACAAAUAUAUUUUCACUGUUUUAUUAAAAAAAAAAAAACUCUGAUAUUUUGUAUUUACAUAAAUAAUAUUUUUUUAUAAGAUAUAAAUAAUUAUUAUUAUAAACAGGACGGCCUAUCAGACUUUGUAGGCCUUUUUAGAAGCCCAAGCCUGACCUAUUUAUGUAAACAAACCGUUUUCAAAGCCUGACAUUUUUAAUAAUCAGGUCAAGCCAGACUUAUACAAGUCAGGCCGAAGACCCCUAUAGACCGCCUGGCCUAUUCCCAACCCAGAACAGAACAAUUCUCAGAAUAUUCUUAUGAGCUGCAAAAUGCAAAUCCAUCUUGUGGUACAAAAAAAAAACAAGUGCAUUAAACAGUCACAACUCACAACAAUUAAUAUAUAGCCACCUAAAUUCAUUCACUCUCCUUUAUUCNNNNNNNNNNNNNNNNNNNAAUCCAAGCCAAAAACCAAUUUUGAGAGCACUUUGAGAUACCCAUUUGGCUUCUUUUUCUUGUGAACAAGUUUUUUCUUUCUGGGUCAUUGAAAUUUUUCACAUUCUCUUUCUCACCUUUCAUAGAAAAAAAUGUCUAACAUUGUUAUUGUUUUCGACUUUGACAAAACCAUCAUUGAUUGUGACAGUGAUAACUGGUUGAUUGAUGAAUUGGGUUUCACUGAUUUGUUCAAUCAACUCCUUCCCACAAUGCCAUGGAAUUCUGUCAUGGUAUGUUUUUUAUACUCUGCAUGUGCUCUGUUUUUAUAAAUACUCUGUUUUCUGCAUUGUCUCAAUUUGCAUAAAUAAAUAACUUUGAUUAUUGUGUUUAUGUUAUUGAAUUAUAGGACAAAAUGAUGAUGGAGUUUCAUGCAAAUGGUGUAACAAUUGAAGAGAUUGAAAAGGUUCUUCAUAGGAUUCCAAUUCAUCACAGAAUAGUACCUGCAAUUAAAGCAGCUUAUGCUUUAGGGUGNNNNNNNNNNNNNNNNAGAAGGAAGGGUUAGAAUUUCACCUUACCAUGACUUCAACAAAUGUUCACAUGGUUGCACUCUUUGCCCUCCAAACAUGUGCAAGGUAUAUUCUUUUAU
Molecule: long non-coding RNA, 12707 nt
Filed under: Trifolium pratense (red clover)
Lineage: Eukaryota; Viridiplantae; Streptophyta; Magnoliopsida; Fabales; Fabaceae
Description: long non-coding RNA (TPRA_LNC002665)
Source: RNAcentral